RNAcentral lists this small RNA (198 nucleotides) under Cylindrospermum stagnale PCC 7417. Its description in RNAcentral is "c-di-AMP riboswitch aptamer (ydaO/yuaA leader)". It matches the Rfam family "c-di-AMP riboswitch aptamer (ydaO/yuaA leader)". From Rfam's summary of the family: This family represents a conserved RNA structure found upstream of the ydaO and yuaA genes in Bacillus subtilis and related genes in other bacteria. RNAcentral also lists the same sequence under 1 other name. Lineage: Bacteria; Bacillati; Cyanobacteriota; Cyanophyceae; Nostocales; Nostocaceae. The record is from Rfam by way of RNAcentral.
AGAGUUAGUCAGCUUAAUCCAGUGCAUUGCGUAGCACUGGAGCGGAGGAACCCAAUUGUGGGGCGUAUCUCCUAGAAAGUGGCAAGUUAAGAGUCAAAAUUGAGUAGUUAGGAAAUAUUUGACUCACCACUCUCAAGAGAGGGGCAUCUCUCAGCCCUAGCCCGUCAGCUAACUUCGUAAGCAUUGAGGGGAGACUGA